This 602-nucleotide ribosomal RNA is filed under the name uncultured archaeon. RNAcentral describes it as "bacterial SSU rRNA". It matches the Rfam family "Archaeal small subunit ribosomal RNA", at positions 1 to 605 of the family's 1478-position model. The record is from RNAcentral.
UCCGGGUUGAUCCUGCCAGAGGUUACUGCUAUCGGUGUUCGACUAAGCCAUGCGAGUCAUAUGUUCUUCGUGAACAUGGCGGACUGCUCAGUAACACGUGGAUAACCUGCCCUUAGGUUUGGCAUAACUCCGGGAAACUGGAGAUAAUUCCGAAUAGGUCACAUAUGCUGGAAUGCUUUUUGACCAAAAGACCUCGGUUGCCUAAGGAUGGAUCUGCGGUCUAUCAGGUAGUAGUGGGUGUAACGUACCUACUAGCCUACGACGGAUAUGGGUUGUGAGAGCAAGAGCCCAGAGAUGGAUUCUGAGACAUGAAUCCAGGCCCUACGGGGCGCAGCAGGCGCGAAAACUUUACAAUGCGGGAAACCGCGAUAAGGGGACACCGAGUGCCAGCAUUUAUGUUGGCUGUCCACAUGUGUAAACGGCAUGUGUUAGCAAGGGCCGGGCAAGACCGGUGCCAGCCGCCGCGGUAACACCGGCGGCCCGAGUGGUAAUCACUUUUAUUGGGUCUAAAGGGUCCGUAGCCGGUUUGAUCAGUUCUUCGGGAAAUCUGACAGCUCAACUGUUAGGCUUCCGGGGAAUACUGUCAGACUUGGGACCGGGAG